AUUGAACGCUGGCGGCAGGCCUAACACAUGCAAGUCGAGCGGAUGAAGGGAGCUUGCUCCUGGAUCCAGCGGCGGACGGGUGGGUAAUGCCUAGGAAUCUGCUGGGUAGUGGGGGAUAACGUCCGGAAACGGGCGCUAAUACCGCAUACGUCCGGAGGGAGAAAGUGGGGGAUCUUCGGACCUCACGCUAUCAGAUGAGCCUAGGUCGGAUUAGCUAGUUGGUGGGGUAAAGGCCUACCAAGGCGACGAUCCGUAACUGGUCUGAGAGGAUGAUCAGUCACACUGGAACUGAGACACGGUCCAGACUCCUACGGGAGGCAGCAGUGGGGAAUAUUGGACAAUGGGCGAAAGCCUGAUCCAGCCAUGCCGCGUGUGUGAAGAAGGUCUUCGGAUUGUAAAGCACUUUAAGUUGGGAGGAAGGGCAGUAAGUUAAUACCUUGCUGUUUUGACGUUACCAACAGAAUAAGCACCGGCUAACUUCGUG
Molecule: ribosomal RNA, 484 nt
Filed under: uncultured bacterium
Lineage: Bacteria
Description: partial 16S ribosomal RNA
Rfam family: Bacterial small subunit ribosomal RNA
Source: RNAcentral